Molecule: long non-coding RNA, 38343 nt
Filed under: Durio zibethinus
Lineage: Eukaryota; Viridiplantae; Streptophyta; Magnoliopsida; Malvales; Malvaceae
Description: long non-coding RNA (DZIB_LNC002092)
Source: RNAcentral
UUAAGGUAGAAGAUCUCAAAUCAAAUCAUUAGCUUCGGUGAACAAGAUAAGAUCAAAUUGCUCCUCUUUCAGGAUUCCGUGUGGGGACUUUCCCAAAGCUCCUUCUGUACGUAGUGAUUCUAUACAUCAUUCUUAUGGUUCUUUACAUUAUCGUAGUUAUUCGAAAACAAAGGUACUUUAUGAGAAAUGGUUUAAGAUCUUAUCAGAGUGUAUAGGAUAUGUUUGUCCGAAGGAGAAGGAAAUUAUGGCAUAAGAAGGGUGGUGCUAUUGGCACAGACAUUGAAAUGGCCGCGGUGGAACCAGACGCAUCUGAAGCUGAACGCUUGAUCAAUCCCCCACUCUCUCAAUAUGUGGGUAUACUCAUAUGAGUUUCAAUUUGCAUUCAACUACUCUCAACUAUGUUUUUGACAUGGAUAUCCUUGUUAGAUAAAAUAGCAACUUCAAAAUAUAGUAGAGAGGUAAGAAAUCAUUGAAGCCUAAAAAGAGUAGGCUAAGAAAGAUAAUAGCUAAAAAAGUGAUGGUUGUGAGAUUAUCAAGGUGGUGAGAGUUCCCAAAAGGAAAAGAAUGGUAAACCUUUGAAAAAUAAGAAAGAUGACUCUAUCCCAUGUUGCUAAGAUGCCUAGACCUUUGAAGCCCUAAAAGAGCUUAUAAGCCUAACAAUAAGGCUCUUAAAAGAUAUCAUAAGGGAUUUAGAGACUUUUCUCUAGACUAAAGAUGAGCUAAAGUAUCCUCUAUUGUUAGGAAAAUGAGAUCCAGCCUUAUGUAAUUGAUUUUAGACCAAUCAAAGGUCAUGGGCCUUGAUCUUUUUUUUAUACAGAGCCCUAACUACUUAAUAAAAAGAGGUAGGACUAUUUUAAGAUGAUGUCACAAACCAAGAAAAGAAAGAAGAAAAGCUAGAAAGAUAGAGAGAAAAAGAAAAAGGGAAAGUUGUUUAAAUGAAAGUCAAUCUGUGAUCUGAUUAAGCUAAAAUUUUAUCAGCAAGUUUAUGAUUUAAAAUUUUACAUUUUGGAUGGUGAAGAUUAGGUUUGAAGCUCUCUAGGAACAAAUUCAGUAUGUAUUUGUUGAGUUACCUAUUUGGUGAGAUUUCUCUAAUUGUCUCUCUUUAGUUGUUGAUUAGCUCUAGUUUUAGCUAGAGAAGAACUUUGUAUAUCCAUUAUUUGAUAGUAGAAAUUUUUUUGUGGUUCAUGGUUUUUCCUUCUACACUAGAGGGUUUUUCACAUAAAUCUUAGUACGUUUUAUUUUUUUCUAUGUUGUUUCCUAAAUUCAAUUGGAUUAAGGGAUCCUAAUGAUAUUAGAACUUCUACAUACAUUCAAUUAUCCUAUUUACAAGAAGACUCUUACAUGCAAUUGGAGAUUGAAGAUUUAUAUUUGAAGAAUGACUUCUUAUUGUAUUCAGUCAAUGAGAAAUUUUACAAGACAAUAGCUCUUUGAUCAAUCUUGAAAGAGUUUUCAUGCAAAUCAAACACAACAUAAGAGUGAAGGCUAAAAAGUUUAGAUAAAAAAUGGACUCUUGAAAGAUUUAUCUCAAGAGUUUAAAUAUGAAACAACUACAUGUCUUGAUAACUAUGCUUAGUCGAACCACCCAUCAAAAUUGCAAGAUUAAGAGUACAUACCACAUGGAUGAUCAAGAUUCAACCUAAGAUUUCCUGUUUGGCCAAAGCACUCCAAGAAUGAAGAAAUUACAUUUGGCUAUGACUCUACCACAGAUAAAACUAAUCUCUUAGAAUUCAAAAUAACUAAGACUUUGUAACCUUAAUCCCUAUCCUAGCUGAACCCACCAUUAUAAAUAGGGAGGCUCUCUUGUAACUCAAACAUCACACACAUCUCAUCUUCCUUUCUCCCUUUUAUUCUCUUUAGUUUUAGUUAUAUUAGUUUCUUUUAAGUUUUCUUUGUAGUUUGGUUAAGGUGACACAUUAGCUAAUACUAAAUUAUUUUCUAAAUUGUUUUCUUAAUUUAAAGCAUUCUUCUAGUUUCAAGAUCUAUUUCUUUAAAGCUUUCUUGCAUACUUUCGAUUUUCAUAACCUUGUUCUUAGCUACAGUUAUUCAAGUUUCUUUAAGUACUAUUUCCACCAAUUUAAAGCAUUUGGUUUACGUUCAAGCAAUCUUUCUUUCAUUAUAAGUUUCAUUUUUAUGCAAUCUUGAUUCAAUUUUUUCUUUUAUGCAAGCUUUCAUACUUUCGGCCAAACACUUAAUCAUUUUUUUCUUUCUAAGUUUUUUGUUCUUUAGUUCUUUAGAUCCAUUCAGCCACAUCUAAGAAUCCAAGUGAUAGUUGGAUAAGUAGAUCUUGACCUACAAAAUUGAUUUCUUUUAUUGUUUUCUUUGCAAACAAAUCAAAUUUUUCAUUAGUUUAGAUAUAAGUCUUGUAGUUGAUCACCUUUAGUACGUGAUUUUCUUCCAACAAUUCAAUUAUAUAAUCCUCAUGGGAAUGAUACACUACUCGCUCACUCUAUUAUUUGAUUACAAUCUAUGCACUUAUAAGCAUUAUAAAAAGUAGCAAUCAUUAAACACUGGUCAAGGGAAAAUGUUGAUUUUUAUAGCCAUUAAGCUUUUGAUUAAAAAAGCUAUUUUCAAGAAAAAUUUUUAAAAGAAUGGUUUUUUUUUUUUGUGAAUCUUUAAAUUUUUUUUUUUUGUGAAUAUUUGAACUUUUGAAGAUAUUUUAACUUUUUCAAAUCUUUAAAUUUAUUUGCAAACAAUCUUUGACCUUCUACGAUUUUUGAACUUUUGCAAAACUUUGAAAUCAUUUGUGAACCUUCAAACCUUUAAUGUGAAUCUUAAAACCUUCGAUGUGAAUCUCAAAAUCUUUAAUGUAAAUUUCAAUACUCUCAAUAUAAAUCUCAAAAUCUUUGAUGUGAAUAUCGAAACCUUCACUAUGAAUCAAGAAACCCUUAAUGUGAAUCUCAAACCCUAAAUACAAAUAUUUAAUUUUUAGAUGUGAAUCUCUAAAAAUUUUUCAAAUAUGAAUCUUUGAUUGUUAGAUGUGAAUCUCUUCAAAUGUGAAAUUUUAUUUUUAGAUGUGAAUCUCUAAAAUUUUUUUAAAUAAAAAUCAUUAAUUGUUAGAUGUGAAUCUCUUUAAAUAUGAAUAUUUGCUUUUUAUAUGUUGUUAGGUUUAUAGGUUAGAUGGUGAUCCAAGAUGGGGGUGAAUUGGAUCUCUCCAAAUUCUUUCCAAAUAAUGAUUUCAAUAUAGUUGAAUGAAAAUUAAGACAAUAAGCUCUUUUGAUAAAAAUAUAAUGAAGGCAAUAACAAUCAAUGAACUUAAAAUCAAAUAUGGACAACAAUAAAUUAUAAGGAGAUAGGGAUAGAGAAAUCAAACACAAUGAUUUAUAGAGGUUUGGUUCUUCUCCACAAGGCACCUACGUCCUCUCUCUUGGUUGUCCAUACUAAGGCUCAAAUCUAUUAUGUGUUGAAGAUUACAAACAAGCUUUUCCAAGCUUUACAAACUCAACACAAUACACUCUUAAGGGUUAUCCUCCCCCUUAAGCUUACAAUCACAUAAUACAAAAUUUCAAGUGUUUGGCAAACUCUAAGAACCUUUCAAAGGUUGGGUGUUUGCUAAUUUGAAGUACACAAAGGUAUAGAUAAGACAAAGAUUAAUGAAUAACAAAAAGAUAAUUUGGAUACAAUGAAUGCAAGGAUAUAGACUUUGAAGCUCUAAAAACUCUUGAUUAUUUGAGAAAAAGAAAAUAUUGCUUGUUAGCUCUUACUCUCUUGAUUUCUCUUGUUUCCUCUUGCUUCUUGGUGUGUUAAAGUGCCCAAUUUAUAGAGAAAUUGAGAAACUAUCCGUUGGGGAAGCUUGAAGUGAAGAAAUGCCCAUUGGAAUGAUGAAAAAGUAGCCAUUGGAGGUCUUCAUGCCCAGAAUCGAUCGAUCCCUUCUUAAGGGGAUCGAUUGGUUCAUGUUGGUUCAAGCACGAUUUUGUGCUUAAAAAGCCUUACCCGAUCGAUCCCUUCCUUGAGAGGAUCGAUUCCUUGCCUAGGUGAUUGAUCCCUUAUGUGGGGGGAUCGAUCUCUUUUUUAGAUUUUCAGCUUGGGGGGUAUUCUAUUUGAGGAAGCAAUUGAUCCCUUCUAGAGGGGAUCGAUCCUGUCCAAGCUGGUGGUUGUUUCUCGUUCUAUACUCUACUCACUAAUUUGAUCAUAAAUUGAGUUAUACAAAUCCAAAUCACAAACCAUUUGAAGAUUUAGAAACUAGACCUAAAGGGAUUUCGAUCCAUAUAAAGUUCAUCACCUAAUUCAUUGUGUACUAAUUAUAGUGAAUUUUCAAAUCUAUCUUUUGUGUAGUUUUAUGGACAACUGUAAUGUGUCUAGUAAAAAUUCAAAAUCUUUUCUUAGAAAAUUUGGAUUUUCAUUUUGUUUGAUCCAUUAGAAAGUAGACUCAAAGAGCUUGCCAACCCUAUAAAAUUCAAGUAUUAAAACCUUGUGAAUUUAUAUAGAAAAAUAAAAUAAUUUCAAUGUUGGAAAACUUUGUUCUUGUAAAAACAACUUUCCUAACUUAAUCUAUUUCCCAAAACCAAUAUUAUCAAAAUUGUAUUAAGUCCAAAAUGAAUAAGUUCACUUUAAAAACAACAAUUGAACUUUCAUUUAAGCUCAAAUAAAUAAUCUUGAAAGGUAGAUUUGGUUUGAGAAAUAUGACAAGAAAGGCUUGUUUAAACUUUAAAAAUCAUAUUAUUUAUUUAGUACCAAAAUAUAAAACUUAAGAACAUGUACUAAAUAAAUCUUUUUCAAAAUCUUGAUCAAAUUUAUUUAGCUUUAAUGUUUUGUCAUUUCAAAAUAAUGAUCAAUUCAAGACUAACAAUGCUAUUUUCAAUAUCAAGCGCUUACCACUACAUUAAAAGCUAUAGCUGAUAGUAAAAGCGUAACUCUAUUUUCUUAUUCUUUUUUGGUAGCGUAAAGCCCCUUACUAAGCAACAGGUGGACAUAAGGGCUUUGCAAAACCUUCAUGGGAUACCCCACCCAUUAGGCUUCGACAAGUUGGGUUGUCAUACAUCAAAAUUUGAUCCAUUAUGGGAUACCUCAACCAGAUGAAUCGACAUACCAAGUCCCUAAGGGAGACCGCUAGACCCCAUAAUCUAACAAUCUCUCCUUCAGUGGGACCUAGGGGACUCGAACCUGCAACUUGCUCUGAUACCAAUUUUUAAGAUCAAGCGCUUACUAUUAUAUCAAAAGUUAUAGCUGAUAGUGAAGGUGUAACUCUAUUUCUUUAUUCUCUUUUGGUAGUGCAGAGCCCCGUACUAAGCGAUAGGUGGACAUAAGGAGCUUUGCAAAGCCUUCAUGGGAUACCUCACCUAUUAGGCCUCGACAGGUUGGGUUGCCAUACACCGAAAUCUGAUCCACCAUGGGAUACCUCACCCAAAUGAAUCGAUAUACCGAGUCCCUAAGGGAGACCGCUGGACCCCAUAAUCCAACAUAUGUGAAUCUCUAAAAGUUUAUAAAUGCAAAUCUUUGAUCUUUAGAUAUGAACCUUUGAAAUUCUUCAAAUGAUUAACUUAAGCUAUCUAGAUGGCCAUAUAAGUAAUAAUUGGUCAACAGUACAAUAUUAUCCUUAUAAGACACAAAAAAUUCUAAAAAAUUCCAUUAUACAUUAAUACCAUCAAAUAACAAAAUGGAACACCAAAUAUAACCUCAUUGCAUAAUAAGUAACCUCUAGGAGAACAAGUAAAAAAGCAUAUAGUUUCAGUAAGCUCUUUUGUCACUUGUAAUAAUCAACAAGAAUGAUGUAAUAACUAAUUUAUUAAUGUCAUUUUUUUUGGAUUAUUAACAAAAUACGCACAUUAUUCAAGCUCAACAAAACAUGCACAAAGAAAUUUUGAUCUUUCUUCCCUCUUUAUAUAUAAAGGAAAUGUCUCUUUCAAAGAUUUCUUCCAAGACGUAAUCAAGCUUAAAUGUCAUUUUUAUAUGUAACUUUCAUAAGUAUUAAUUUUCCAUUACUUAAUAAACUUUGACAUAUCUGUAACACUGAUUACUAUUUUUUAGUUGAGUUUUAUAAAUGGAUAAACAUAUUAUAAUUACUAUCACAUAUGAUCAAGUAGCACUAUUCCAUUACCAAAGAAGUUUUUUUUUUCUUUUAAUUUAACAUUGAAGAUUAGGUUCAUACAUGAGGAGAGAAGGGCUUAGCUAUUCCUGUAGUGAUUUUAUUUUUCUAUUUUCAUAAUAUAGACACAAAAAAAGAGAGAACACAACAUGAAAACCAAAAAAAGAUAAGAAACAAGCAAACUACUUAAAGUUAUCCUAUCUAGUCCCAUGAUACAUAUUUAUUCAUAAAAUAAAACCCUACACCUUAUAUUAUAAAAUAAAAUAGGUCUAUAUAACGAUAUGCUCCUUCUAAAUUUGCAUGUUGAAUCUUUCAAAACUAAAGUGUGAAAGUGUUAGAGUGAAAAUGAUGUGAAGUUCCCAAUCCUAAUCAUUGUUUUGGGAGUUAGGGUCCCAAUGGGCAAUGGAGGAAAGACUCAUAAGGAUGGUAGUAGGAUUCUAAAUGUUAGUAGAAAUCAAAAGGUUACUAGAGAAAGUUAAUGUGGUGAAGAAUAGUUAAGGAAUCAAAAGGAGCAAAAAAAAACACUAAAUGACGAGUUAUAAUUGCUGCAAGAGCCAACGAGAAUAUAAGGAAGUUGACAUCAGAAAGACAAAGAAGGAACCCAUCGGAUGACGGACGAUGAUCAAUGGCACCAGGAAUAGAAAAGGCAUAAGGGAAAUGAAGGGAAAGUGGCGUAGAUGAUGGUCGAAGAGAGAAAAUGGGUUUAGAGAUUUUUUACGUAAGAGAGAAAAUGAGAAAAAGAUUUGGGAAUUUCAUUUUUAUCCUGCUUACUGAUGGAUUACCAAAAGAAAUUCCAUUGGAAAACUAUUUUUUUAAAAUUUAAUUUACUUUUUUUACUUGUUCCAUUUAAUUUUGUACCAAAAUUAUUUACUGACAAAAUAAUCCAUUCGUAGUCCGUCGGCAAUGAUAUUUCCAAUCAAUUACUGAUGUAUUAUUUUAUUGUUAUUUCUAAUACUAAAUUUUCCUUUCCCCACUAAAUAUUUACCUAUAGAAUACCAAUUGAAUAGUUUUAUCAGCAAAUCCUGUUGGUAUUCUAUCAGUAUUUUGUCAAAAAAUAUUGAAUUAAUUUACAAUUAUGUUUUGUCGACAAUCCAUUAAAGAUACGUCAGUAAUUAUCAAUGAAAAAUUUUGUCAGUAAACUUUUAUUAGUGUUGAGCAAAUUUUGGGUAGUGUUUUAGAUAUGAAUAUCUUGAAUUUUGUGAAUGAGAAUCUUGAAUUUUGUGAAUGAGAAUCUUAAAUUUUUGGAUGCAAAUCUUUGAAAAUUUUCCAAUAUGAAUCUCUAAAAAUUUUUUUUAUGUAAAUCUCUAUAAUUUUCAAAUGUGAAUCUCGUAAAAUUUUCAAAUGUGAAUCAUUUUUUUUUCCUUCAAAUGUGAAUCGUCAAAUUUUUAUUUUUUCAAAUGAAAACUUUGAAAAGAAAAAAAAUGAAAAAUGCAAAAAUAAAAGACCAACAAAAAAUCAAAAAAAAAAAAAUGAAAAAAAAAGUAUAUUUUAAUUACUUAUUUAAAUAAAAUUAUUACCUAUAUCUUUGCUUUAUUUCUGAUUCUUAAUAAUGUGUUGAAAGAGAUAGUUGUAGACACUAAAUCUUGUCUAGGUAAAUCUCAAUUUUUAUUCAAAAUUUGGACAUGCACAAUUAGAGCCCAUUUAAACAUUUUAAUUAGGAUUUAUUGGGUCUAGUUCUAUUUAAUUAAAAUCAUAUUACAAUUUAAGCCCAAUUUUAGGGCCUAAAGAUGGUUUAUUAGGUUAAUUAAACUUUAAUUAAAAAAAGAAAAAAGUGGUGUUGUGUAUGACACCAACUCGCCACCCUACUAAUUGUCGGUCUCUUUUUGCAACUCUCUUUUCCCUAAAAGUAAGCCUUUUCUAAUGAUCAUGCCUUUCUUGGUUGUCAGUCACUCCCUUCUUUUAAGCAAGUUGACUUAAUAUAACAAAUAGAAAAAUUGAAACUUAAAGAGGAUUUGACACAUGUUAGUCUUAAAACCAAAAUAUGGCAGUGCCUAGAAGGCCACCCUUAUAGGUAAAAAUCUGAAAACCUUCCUAAUCGGUGAUGACACUUUGAACCCUUAAUCUUAAUUGGCUUUAUAAAUUGAGUCUUUGAGCAAACUACAAGGGGGUGAACUUUUAGAGAAUAAAAAUUUUGAAAAAACAAUUCCUAAUGACUAGAACUAUAACAACCUCAAGCCUUUACUGUUCAUAGUCCCUACAACCACCAUUAAACCCAUCCUUACCAUGCUCUAAGCAAAUCCACCCCUUGCAUCCACCAGAAGCAAACCUACCAUCUGUUUCCAACUAAACCACCUAAGCACCACCCACCACUAACCUAGACCUUAACCAAAUCACUAGCUCAGUUGAAACACCUAAUUACUCCUCUAACCACAAUGAAGACCUACCACCUUAAAAAAUACCAACAGCCAUGAAAAAAGCCACAUCUCUGAAGGAAGCCAUAGUUUGAAAAAAAAACUAAAAACACAAGAAACAACACAAAAGCCAAAAAAAAAAAAAAACUUGGAUUUUUAGUUUAGGUUGUUCUAAGGAGAUUCAAAAUUGGAUUUUUGGAAAGAUAAAGGUCUUAGGUAGAGGAACGACAUAAUGGGAGAUGACAAUGAUUAUAACAACAUAAGAUGGCUAUUUCGGAUCUUGUAAUCAUUGGCUUUCGACUUAGAUCUAGGACUUUGUAGGUUGAUUUUGGGAAAACUAAGGUUAGAAUAGAGAUUAGGACAUUAAAGAGAGCUCAUGGUGAAAAUUUGAGGCUAAACGGUGAUCAGAGGUAAUGGUGACUGAAGGCCGACAUGGUGGUUGAUUAUUGAAUUCUAGAUUUGUUUUUAUUUUUCUGGCAAGCUAAAGUUUUAGAGAAAAAAAAAGUGCACAUACCCUAUUUUGUCAGAAAACUUUUUCGAUACUCAAUGCGUUUUAAAUUUCAUUAUUGCAUUUUAAAAGAGAGCUUAAACUUUAAGCCCAAAUUUAAAAAUCCAAAAGGAUUUUAUUUUUAUUUUUAUUUUUAUUGUUUGGUCAAAAAGUCAAAGUUAAAAAAAGUUUUUAAUUUAAUUUGAUUUUUUUAUUUCUUUUAUUUUAUAUUUGAUUUGUUUAUUUUUGGUAAAAAGAAAAACAAAUUGAAAAAAUAGGAAAGGGAUCAGGAAUCCAAAAUCUAUUGAUUCAAAGGCAAAGUUUAGUUUUAUAUAACUUGGGCACCAAUUGACUAUGAAAAGGAAAUAAGAUUUUAAAAAUAUUAAAAUAAGAUCUUAAUAGAUUCAAUUGCAUUAAGAUUUUCCUAUUUGAUCUAGGAUUUGAAUCUCUAUAUAAUAAUGAGCAAUGAAGCACAAAUCAACAAGCAAUAAUCAAGCACAAACGAAGAAAAUAGCAAUCAGGCAAUAGAUAGCAAGUUGAGUAAACAAAAAUUUUUUAAAUUUGGUUUUGUAUUUUGUUAAAAAAUGUUGAUUCGAUUUUUUAGGUAUUUUUAAAUUUGUUUUUGGAAAUUUUGGUAAAGAAUAGUAUUUUUAGGAAAUAGUUUUGGAAUUUUUUGAGUUGUUUUUGGGAUCUUUAUGAGCUUCUAAAAUUUUUUGGGUUUUUUAAGAAUUUUUAGAAUUUUUUGGGUUUUUGUUUAAUUUUUGGAUUUUGCUAGGUAAGAUUGAAUUUUCCAAUGAACUCUUAAAUUUUUCAAUGGGAUUGAUGGUGGCUGAAGGGAUUUUACAACAAUCAAUUUCUAGAAUUUUUGAAGGUUUCUAGGGUUGGUUAAAUUUUUCGGCAACUGAUUGGAUUUUUGGACAACCGAUUAAAUUUUUUUAUUUCAAAAUUUAGGUUUUUGGCUAGUUUUUGAAAGCUAUUGAAUUUUUUGAUCGAGUUUUCUAAAGAGGAGUUAAAGAACUUCUGUGGUACUGAGAGAAAGAAAAAAGAAAGAUGUUGGCUUAAAUACUGAGGAAAAGAUGCCGUUUUGGUCCAUAUGAGGCUACUGACUUGAUUGCCAUCUAUGGAACUUUCUGCAUCAACCCGAUUUAACUCAAUUGUAGGUUUUUUUUUUCAUUUUUCAUUUUUUGUUUUGAUUUUUUCCUUUAAUUUUGAUUUUUAAAUUUUUUUUAUAUAUUUUAAUGUUUUUCUAAUUUCAUUAUAUUUUGUUGUUUAUUUAUUAUUUAUUUUUUUAUAUUAAUUUUGGUUUAAUUGAAAAAUAAUGUAAAAGAAAAAAGAAACUUUGAUUGAAUUUUUAUUCUUUGUUGCAUGAUAUUUAUUAUGAUAUUUUUGCAUUAAUUUUUAUGACAUUAUUGCAUGAUAUUUAUUAUAACAGUUUUUACAUGAUUUUAUUAUGAUAUUAUUGCAUGAUAUUUUUAUGUUGUUUUUAUGAUAUUAUGAUAUAUUUUGAUAAUAUUUUUGUAUGAAAUUAUUUUGUAAAUAAAUAAAAAUAAUAAAUUGGCUUUUUGUUAUAAGAUAUUUAAUAAAUUUGAUUAUGGAGUCUCUUCAAGUAAACAAUGAGUUUAUCUUGAAUACUUUUGAAGUGCAAAAAAAAUUCUUUUUGGUGAAAGCCUAAAGAUAUUUUUCCAAUAAUCAAAUAUCAAAAUUAAUAAAAAUCAUUUUGAAUUAAGGCUUAGACAAGAUAAUAUAAGGCUUAUUCGAUACCAAUUUUAAGCAUUGUGGGAGUGCUAAGACAUUCUCUACAUGUAAUCAACUCUCGAGUUUAGUUCUAAAGAUUUGGCCUAGAACUUCUUCCUUUUAAGGACCUUUAGUUGAGGCUUAGAAUAUUUUUAGAAGGAAUAAAUUCACUUAGGUGGUCAAUCACACCUAGAUAAAAAAAUUGGUGCCAACUCCAUGUUUUGUGUCUAAUGAUCAGGUUUUUAGACUUGAACGUUAUGAUAGAAGGUUUUGAUGUUAGUGAGAGAAAGUAAAGAGGAAAAAAUGAGAUAAUUGAAAAUUUUUUGGAUUUUCUAGUUAGUAGGUUUAAAAAAACUAUGUAGUUUUGGGUAGAAAGAACGAAAGGACAAAAAAAGUGAAACAAGAUUGAUUUUUGAUUGAUUUUGACCUGUUUGAUUUUAAAAAAAUUUCUUUCUUUUAUUUAGUUAUUUGUUUGUUUAUUUAUGGAUUGACUUGCAUAUUUAAAGCUAAAAUUUUAAAGGAAAUGUAUUUUUUUUAGUAAUGCUAAACAUAAGUUUUCUUUUAAAAUUGAUUAAAUGGUAAAUUUAUAUAUAAAUUAAAGAAAUUAGAAAAUAGAAAUAAAAAAAAUCUUUCUAAUGAUGAGAUACUAAAAAAAUCUUAGUAGUGAUUCUUUUAAAAUCUUUAGCCAAGAGUAAUUUUCUAAAAUGCUACAAAUUAUUGGAAUAUUUAGAAAAUAUUUAAUACAAACAAGUUUUCAUUUACUUAUUGUUUUUGUUUUUAAAAAAAUAGAAAGAGAAAAGGAUUUUUCAAAAAUGAAUAAAAUUAUAUAUUAUAAUCAUGUUUCAUUAUUUGCAUUUCAUGUGCAUUAAUUAAUUUUAAAAAUAAAUAUGAACCUUUGAGAUGAGAUUUUAAUGAAAUUUGAAAAGUGACUUUUAAGAAAACUCUAGUGAAAAAAUCUCUUUUAAUGUUACCAACAUAGUAGAAUAUUUUGAGAGUUUUUUAAUAAACAAAGUUCUUUAUUUUUUAAAAUUAAAAAAUAAUGAAUUUUUUAAGACAGUUUAAAAAAAGAAAUAAAGCUAGUAAAAAAUAAAAAAAUUAUGCAAUAAAAAAGAGCUAAAGGAAGUGUUUUUAAAUAUCAAAAUCAAUAUUAUUUUUGUUAAGAUUAAAAGAUAAUAUGUGAUUAAUUGGUACCGUUUUUCAAAACGGAUGAUGUGGGUUACUAAUAUUUCUUCACGUGUAACCAUACUUUAGAAUCCAAUUGUUUUUGCAUACCAAAAAAAAAUUUUUUUUUGAUAAAUUUUAAUUAAUUUUAGAGUUUUAUUAAAAAGAUAAAUUUUUUUAGGUGAUCAAUUGUGCCUAACAAAAAAAAAUAACGACUUCUAAUAUUUUUUAAAUCAUCUAACAAUCAAGUUUUAAGACAGAAUCGUUACAAUAGAUACACCCAAAUUGUGAUUUUGAACUUACUUGCUCAAAUAGAAAGCUGAGCUGCAUUGCAUGGUUUUGUCCAAAAAAAAAAAAAAACCUAGCUUAAGAGUUUUGUAAUAUCACUCUUAUAGGUUAUUCUUUCAAUUAUUGCUAUAUGGUUUUUUUUUUCUUUUCUCAUCUUCUUUGUGAAGCAAGGUAAAUCACUCAUAUCGAUUAUUCUUUCUCCAAUGUGGAAGUAGUUAUAUCUUUUCCAACUUUUGUUGAUAAAGAUAGAACUCCCAAUACGCCAAAUUUAGGCGCUUAAUGAAAUUUACUUGAUAUUGUGUCAAAAUGAUGUUUGUUUUUGAUACUUUGUUUCAAUUCUGAUUACUAACUAUUUGAUGAAUUGGGGGCUAAGCCCCUUCUGCAUGAAUUUUUUGCUUUUUAUUAGGAACAAGGACAAUAAGAGUCCUAGAACUUCUAGUAUCUAGAUGAUAUAUUAUUUGAAUUUAUGAACAUACUUUUGUACCAUUUCUUAUCAAAGAUAUGAUUGUUUAAAAUAUUCAUUUAAGCUCUUGUUUAACAGUUUAAGAACAUUUGAGUCUUCUCAAGGUAGUCUUCUUAGGGUAUAGGGCUCUGUAGGAGAAAGCAAGUCUUGUUCGGAUGCAAGAGAGUACUGCCUCAGGAUUACUUUGGUUAGGUGGUCUUUGAGGAUUUAGUGAGUAGAGUAGUUUUUGCAGGUUCAUAAUGAAGAAAGGAAGGGCGACAAUGGAGGAAGAAUUGAAUGAGAGGUGGAAAUUGCUGAGAUUAACGGAUGAAGAAAAGGAUUGUAUAGUGAGGUUGGAAGUGAGAAGGAAACCGAAAAUGGAGGAAAUUGGCCGGUUGGGAAGCUGUUAACACAGAGGCCCUUCAACAAGGAAACGUUGAAAGGGACGAUUAAACUGGCAUGGCGAUUAGCGAAGGAAAUGGAGAUUAUAGACUUGGAGAAUAAUCGGCUUUUAUUCAAAUUCGCUACAAUGGCGGAUAAAGGAAGAGUGAUGGAAGGAUCCCCAUGGUCCUUUGACAAACACAUAAUUUUGUUCCAGGAAUAUAAAGGUGAAUUAAGGCCAGAUGAAUACCACUUCAACACUACCUUGUUCUGGAUUCAGGUAUAUGAGGUCCUGCUGGGAAUGAGAAAGCAGGAGACUGGCCAACGAAUAGGGGAGAAGCUAGGGAUCCUAAAAUCAGUGGACACGACCUUGGAGAAAGGAGGAUGGCUAAGAUUUUACGAUUACGGGUGGAGAUAGCUAGAUGUCAGAAAGCCUCUACGAAGAGCGGUGUUAUUAUAUGCAGGAGAGCCUAGCAAGGAAAUACGAGGCAAACUAAGAUACGAAGACUCCCCACUUUUUGUUAUGUUUGCGGGGUAUUGGGAUAUACAGAGGAGGAGUGCGACCAGAAUGAAGAUUCGGGGAAGAAUAGCCAAAAAGCAUGACAUUAUGGUGACUGGAUGCGACAUCGCCUCUAAAACAAAAUAGAUUCGAAUGGGGACAAGACGGUAAUGGAACUCGGACGACAAAUGAAAAAGGGUGGAAAUUGAAUGUAGAUAUGAGAAGCAGGGAUAGGGUAGUGAACAUGGCGGCCCAAGGUAGUGGAGUGGUUCAGAAACUGCAUGUAACCAAAACUCAAAUAGAAGGGAACCUAGUGGGAGGAUAGGUGUGAAUCAGGGCAAGAUCCUAAAAUAUUCGAGAUUUCAAAUUACAAGAGCAGAAUUGAUGGGAUUAUUAAUAUAGAAGAGUCCUUCACGGUAAUGGAAAAUCAAGAUCGCGAUGGAGUGAAUAAAGCGGGCCUGCAGCUGGGAGAUGAUCAAGGAACCCAAGAUUCACGUGCAGUAUGCAUGCAAAACAUUAAACUUGCAAUAGAAUCAUUUGGUAGUAAGGAUGAACACUUGGUGCAUGAUAUGGUAAGUGGUCUAAGGCAUGGAAGGGGUGUUGAUAAAAAGAACGUGGAAUGCAUGACAUGCAUGGGAAGGCUUGAUGGAGACGAAACACAACAAUCUGACGUUGUUUCCAAGCAAAAUGAGACUAAAAGAGGUGGAGUAGGACCACAUUGGCAAUGAAGAUAGACGAGGAGCAAAAGAAAACAAUGGCCAACUAGGAGAUUCUAAUAGUGGGCAGAACGUACACAGUUCAAGGCCAAAUGGAAAAAGAUGGAACGAGCGCACAUGAAUAAGAAGAUUUGCACAGGAAUUGAAUUAGGAAAAAGGAAACUCGCUAAUGAGGGGAUAAUUGAUAUGGAGAUUGACAGCUCUCAUAAAAGAAAAGGACUGAGGUUGGUAAUGAGGAAUGUAACUAUCAAACGGCGGAGACUAGAUCCCAAUCCCGCCGAGCCAAAUGAAGUGCUCAGCCUGGAACUGCCGUGGGCUUAGGAACCCAUGCCCAGUUCGAGCUCCUCAGCGAAUAAUGAAGAAAGAAGAGCCCACGUGGUUUUCUUGUGUGAAACCAUUCUAAAAACACAGGAUUUGGAUAGAAUAAAAAGGAAGUGCAAGAUGGAUUGUGUGUUAGGUGUAGAUGCAAGAGGCCAUAAUGGAGGUUUGGCUCUAUUUUGGAAGGAAGGGGUAAUGCUAAAUUUAAUGAGUUUCUCAAGGUACCACAUCGACACUGAGAUUAUAGAUGAAAAUGGCCAACAAUAGAGGUUAACUGGUUUAUAUGGAGAUCCAAACACAAAUUCCAGGCAUCAUGCAUGGGAUAUGCUCAAAAUUUUGGCAACAAACACCCAAAGACCAUGGGUAUGUAUUGGUCAUUUUAAUGAAAUUUUAUGGGAUGACGAAAAGGAAGGUGGGAGCCUUAGACCAGAAUAGCAAUUGAAAAACUUCAGGAGAGCCUUGGAAGACACAAGAUUAUUGGACUUGGGUUUUCAAGGACCAAAAUUCACAUGGGACAGAGGUAGGAACGCUAGGUCAAGGGUAAAGGAGAGGUUGGAUAGGGGAGUGGCAAACUUGGCAUGGUAGUAUUUUCCCAAACCAAGUGGUCCGUCAUCUAGUAGCUCCACAACCCCAUUUUGUUGGACACGCACGGAAAAAAGGUGAAGAGGAGUGGAGGUAGGAAAAGACGAGGAAGGAUUUUUGAAGCUAUGCGGUCACAAAAGGUCGAAUGUGAGAGGAUAAUAAAAGAGGUAUGGAACACUGACAAGGAGUAUGGCACAUGAGCAAAAAUGGGUGAUAUGAUGAGCAAGCUAAAUGGGUGGAGUAAAAAUAUUUUUUAAUGGGCCCAAGUAGAAUUGGAUGCUUUAACUAGAGAACUUCAACAAAUAAAAGAACAAGGUGGGGACCACAUUCAUUCUUGGCGUGAAACACAAAUAAAAAAUAGAAUGAAUGAAUUAAUGGAAAGGAAGUGUACUAGAUGCAGAGAUCAAAGAUUAAUUGGCUGCAAGAAGGAGAUAGGAACACUGCUUUAUUUCAUGCACAGGCCUCAUAUCGCAGAAAAAGGAAUUUUAUCAGGGGGCUGAAGGAUGAGAAUGGGAUAUGGCAUAAGGAUGAAUUAGAAGUGAGCAAGCAAGCUGAAGGAUAUUUUAAGGAUUUAUUUAAAUCCUAGAGACCGUCUAAUUAUGAAGAAAUUCUGAAUGCAAUAAAUCCUCGAGUGAUGGAUGAGAUGAACAGAUAUCUACUUACAGAGUUCAGUCCUGAGGAGGUCUACCACACAGUCAAACAAUUUCACCCCAUAAAAGCUCCUGGACCCGAUGGUAUGCCUGCUCUAUUUUUUCAAAAAUAUUGGCAUAGGUCCAGAGGUUCCUAGAUUCUGUCUUGACAGCUUAAAUGGGGGAAAAUUAGAUGAGAUUAUUGACACUAAUAUAGAGCUUAUUCCCAAAAUUAAAGACCCAAAAAAAAUGACCCAGUUUCGCCCAAUUAGUCUUUAUAAAAUUAUUGAUUAAAUUAUUACUAAUAGGCUUAAACAGAUUUUGCCUUCUUGUAUAAGUGAAAACCAGAGUGCCUUCGAACCAGGUAGAUUGAUAACUGAUAAUGUUAUCAUUCCCUAUGAAAUCCUGCAUACACUGAAAUCCAAACAAAAGGGUAAAGAAAGAUGGAGUGCUGUUAAAUUAGAUAUGAAGAAAGCAUAUGAUAGGGUGGAAUGGGGUUUCACAGAAGCUAUUAUGAAGAGGAUGGGCCUUAAUGAGAAGUGGGUGUCUAUCCUUAUGCAUUGUAUUUCUUCUAUCUCUUACGUAAUUGUAAAUGGCACUUUAACUGAUACGAUUAUUCCAGAAAGGGGACUUAGGCAAGGUGAUCCCCUAUCACCCUAUUUGUUUAUUCUUUGCACAGAGGGAUUAUCUGCACUUCUUCAAAAGGAUCAACUGGAAGCCAAGCUGGCAGGAGUCCGAGCUAGUGUAAAUGGCCCACGGAUCACUCAUCUCUUUUUCGUGGAUGAUAGUUUUCUGUUCAUGAAGGCAAACCAAAAAGAAUAUGAGAGAGUGCAACACUUGUUAAAGAUUUAUGAGGAAGGUUUAGGGCAGAAAAACUAUGAGAAGUUUGGUUUGUUUUUUAUUCACAGCACUAGUAAUGACAAAGUGGAGAUGAUAAAGUAGCUGUUUGGGAUUAGGAGUACAAGUAAUCCUGAACAGUACUUAGGGCUGCCUAUGAUAGUAGGGAGAAAUAAGAAAAAAGCUUUCCGGAAGAUAGUGGAGAAAAUGGAAAAGAGAAUCCCUUGUUGGAGCAACUAGUGGAUGUCGCAAAGAGGUAAGGAAGUAUUCAUAAAGUCUAUCCUACAAGCUCUUCCAACUUAUGCCUGUCAUGUUUUUUGUUCCCACAAAACCUGUGCAAUGAUCUCAAUAGAGUAGUGUGCAACUAUUGGUGGAAACAGAAGGUGAGAAGCAAAGGAAUACAUUGGGUGCGUUGGAAGGACAUGUGUUUUAGCAAGCUGGAGGGCGGAAUGGGAUUCAGAGACUUUGAACGUUUCAAUAAGGCACUAAUUGCGAAGCAGGGAUGGAGACUACUGAACAACAAAUCCUCUCUGGUUUACAAGGUUUUAGAUGCAAAAUACUUUGCAGGGAAAUAAAUAUUGGAGGCAGAGGUGGCGCGACAACCAUCUUUCUCAUGGCGCAAUAUAUGUGUGGGGAAAGAUGUUCUACAGUUGGGUAUGAGGUGAAGGGUUGGGAAUGGUCAACAAAUCAGAAUAUGGAAUGACAGAUUGGGUGCCGAACAUUCAUAACUUCAAACCAACACUCCGAAAUAGAGCUAGUGGAGAUUACAUGAUGGUUCAUGAACUCAAAGACUGGGACACACCGAUGGAAUGAAGGAAUACUGGAGGACCUUUUCUCCACAGAAACAAGAAAUGAAAUCAAGUUGAUCCCGAUCAUUCGGUUAACUGCCUUGAUGUACAAAUAUGGAACUACACAAAAAACAGACAGUACAUGGUUAGGAGUGGGUACCAUCUUCUGGGAAUGCAAGGUAGGAACAGUGGAAAUGAUCAAAGAACAACAGGUGAGGCCGAAACAAAGGAGAAUCAGGAGGUGUGGAAUAAAUUAUGGAAGGCCCAACUACUAAACAAAAUCAAAGUAUUUGGAUGGAAACUAGCUCGUGAAUUACUACCAGUGUAUGGAACUCUAAAAAGGAAACGAAUCACGAACAAUGCAGACUGCCCAAGAUGCCAUAGUGGCGAAUAGACAGUUCUGCAUGCAAUGAAGGAGUGCACAAAAGUAGAGAACACCUGGAAGCUUGUUAAUCUAGAACGUGAGUGGUCGGGAGAAAAUUUUCAAAACACCAUGGAAUGGGUUGCCCAUGUGGCACGUUCUUUCGAUAACCAUAAGUUUGAUAUUUGGCUCACCCUUUGUUGGGCAAAUUGGAAGAGCAAAAACGAUGAGGUCAAAAGCAACAUAAACAGACCUUAAUAUUCCACUGUUUCCUUUGCAGCGAAAUUUGUGGUAGAGUGACAUGAGGCUUAAAAACGACAGAUAUACAAGUCAAGAAGUGAGAAGGAGGUCUGGAAGGCACCAAGGGAUGACCAUUAAAAAGUAAACUUUGAUGGUGCUUUUAGAGUUGAAACAAAGGAAGGUGGCAUCGGGGUGAUAAUCAGGGACCACAAAGGGGCUGUCCUAGGUGCAUUGUCUAAACCGGUUAUAAGCGUAAAUAGUGCCAUGCACAUAGAGGGAUUAGCAGUGAUACACGCCAUCGACUUUGCUACUGAAAUGGGAAUUAAUAGAAUAGGGGUGGAGGGUGACGCCCUGAGCAUUAUCAAGCUACUGAAGCAUGAGGGAGUGAAUCUGUCUCCUGUUGGAAAUAUAAUGAAAGAGGUACAGUUUAAGCUAAGGCAGAUGGUAUAUUCAUAUUGUUCCCACGUUAAAAGAGAUGCAAAUGAAGCAGCCCACACCUUAGCAAAAAUAGCAGUAGGAACACUUGAAACCAGAUAUUGGGUGGAGGACUAUGCAGAUUGUAUCAGUGUUGUAGUUGCAAAGGACUGUGAGAACUGUUAAUGGUUAAUAAAUUUAUAUUUGUCUUCAGAAAACAAAAGAAAUAAAAACAGUUUAAGAACAUUAGAUUGGUAAUAAUAUUGCAUUCAAAACCCAAAAAAAAAGAAAGAAUAAGAACGUGGUAUAGUCAUGUAUAUAUUACCUUGUGAAUUUAUCAAUUGAUAGUAAUUAAAUGAAAAUUAAUCGAAUAUCAACACUUUAAAUUGUUCGAUUUUGGUAAAAGAAAUUUUAAAUGUCAAGAAUUUUAAAUGAUAUAUAUGGUGGAUGUUAUGCUAGUAACGAAGUUCGUAUUUGAUAAAUGGUCCAAUUUUGCCUUUCUGUUUUCAGUUUCUUUAUAGAACUCCUAGUAUGAAUUGACUAUCUUUAGUUGGUUAUAGGCAUUUUGUGCAUUUUUCAUGAAAUUUGGCGAUUUAGACUCUUUGUAUAGUUUUCAUGCCUUCCAAAGGCAAAUUUUAAAAAUUUGCCAAGUUCUUACGCAAUUAGGUAUAUGAAUGGCUUAAGUUUGUGAUUUAAGAUGAUAAAACUAUGCUACCUUACUUGGUUUGUUAUAAAACUUGGUAGUUUUAGGCUUUUGUACACUUUUAAGUCUUUCAAAGGUAACUUUUUGAACUUGAACAAUUCUUACUUAUUUAGCUUAAGUUUGUGGUAUUAAACUUGCUCAAGUGCUAGAAUUAUGCCGCCUUGUUUGGCUUGUGAUUUUCACUUUUUUGUGUACUUUUCAUGGCUUUCAAGCAAAAAAAAAUUUUAACCUGUCUGGUUCUUGCUUAUCUAGCUGCAUGGAUGAGUCAAGAGUGUGAUAUUGAACUUGCUCAAAUAAUGGUAAACUAUAUUGCAUUGCCUGGUUUGUUAAAAACAAAUAGUGAUUUUGGGAUUUUUUUAGCACUUUUUGUGUUGUUAAAAGACAAAAUUUAAAACCUGUCCAAUUUUAUUGGUUUAGGUGCAUGGAUAGACCAUGUGUGUAAUAUUAGACUUGCUCAAAUGGUAAAACUAUGUUAUUAUGCUUGGUUUGUUAUACAAGCUUAAUGAUUUUAAUCUUUUUAUAGCACUUUCAUGCCCGUCAAGGCCAAAAUUUUACACCUGCUUUGUUAUUUAUUCAGGCACAUGGUUAGGGUCAAAUUUUAUGAUAUGGAAAUUGCGCAAAUGGUAAAAUUGUGUACAGAUGCUUUUUUAUACACGGAUAGCUUGAUUUUAUUAGUUUACCAUCUGUGAAAUUGUAAAUAUAUCUUAUUCAUAUUUAGCAAAAGGAUAAAAAAAGUUUUCAAAUAAAAAUUUAAUAAUUAUUUAAGUGUUUGAUAUUUUAUUAUGAUCAAUCAAGUCAUUGAUUUUCUAUUUUGACUCAAUUGAAUUUUUAAUUUAACGAAUUUUAGUUCUAUAAAAAAAUUGAAUCAAUCAAUCUUCGAAAAAUUUAGAGAGAAAAAGGAAGAGAAAAUAGAAAAAAAAAAAAAGAAAAAGAAGAAUAUUUUAUUUUAUUUUAUUUUCAUAUAUAUAUAUAUAUUAAUUGUGUUAUGUAAUAAACUUUCAUUUAUUUUAUUAAUGUCAUAUGAAAUUUUAUCUUAAUUAUUAAAAAAAUUAACAGUAUUAUAUUUUUAACUUAAAUAAAAACUUAAUUAAAUGUAAAUAAAUAUUGGAGGCGUUGAUUGAUUACAAUAAUAAUAAUAAAAAAAAGAGUAUGAAUGAAUUUUUAAUUAUAGUUCAUAAGUUUUUAUAAGCUUUCGUAUUUUAUUGUUAUUUAGUAAUAUAAUUUAUCAAUGUCUAGAUUGAAUUAAUUAUGUUAAUUAAUAUGGUUUUAUCAUUGGUGGGUAUUUAUAGGAAGUUGAAAAUGGGAAAUAUAAUUGGAGGUAUUGAUUGUUUUUAAAUGGUUGAUGGAAGCAUUAUGGAUUUGGAUUUUUAUUUAUUUAAGUAAUAAAAUCAAAUUAGUUUUUUUAUUAUUUAUAAUCAUAUUUUACUCGUUGAAAUAUUUUAUAAAUUUCAUAAUUUUAUAAAUCAAAGUUAAAAUUAUAAAAGAAAAUUAUGGUGUUUGCCAAAAAAAAAAAAAAAAAAACCCUAGCUAAAUUGCGGCAUUUGACAAAAAAACCAAAUAAAACAGUUUACUAAAUAGAUAUCUUUCUUAAUAUACUAAAAGUUUUUUUUUUUUUUAAAUUUCAUAAAUAAGAGAUUGUUAUAUAUUUUAUUUUUUAAUAUUUUUAUAAUAUUUUAAAAGAUACAUGUCAUUUUAUUAAUUUUGUAAAUGAUUGUGAUAAUAUCUUUAUUAAAUAAUUUUCCUACAUAUAAUGUUAUAUUUAAGAUUAAUUACAGUAAAAUUUGUAGGACACUCUUAAUAAUAAUUGCACUAAGAGUUUAAUUUCAGGUUCAAUAUUUAACAAUUUAUUUAAAAAAAGAAAGAAUGGCGGUGAUCUUUUCCCCGAAAUAACAAUGAAUAAGGCACACGUUAUCUUUCCAAUAAACCCAAAUCUAAUAAUUAAAGGGUAGUUUGAUAUUGUUUUUGUUUCCUGCUUUCGAUUUUCAUUUUUAAUUUUUUUGAAAACAAUAAUAAAAAACGUGUUUGCUAACUUUUUUAUUUUCAAAACACAAAGAAAGAACAAAAAUAUUCAAAAUUGUUGAAAACAACAAUUUCUUGUUUUCAUUGUUUUUGAAAACAUGUUUGAGUUUCUGACACUGUUCAUAAGCAAAGUGAAAAGUAUUUUUAUGUUAAUAUAAUACUAUAUAUGUCUUCAUAAUAAAAAUUAUAAAUAUAAUUAAUUAUUUUUAAAAUAAAAUAAUACAAAAUUUAAUAUAAAAUAAUAAUAAAUUAAAAGUGUUUAAUUAAAAUUUUAACAAUUCAUAAGCAAUAUAGAACAUUUAAUACCAAACAACUAAUUUUAUUAAAUACUUUAAUCUUUAAUUAAAUAUUAUAUAAUAUUAAAUUAAAUAAUGUUAAACAUUAUAUGAUAGUAAUAAUUUAAAUAAAUAUUAAAUUAUAUAAUAUCUAAUAUUUUAUUAAAUAUGAAAAAUUAUAUAUUAUUUAAUAUUAAAUAUGAAAUAUUUAAUUAAAUAUUAAAUUAUAUGAUAUUAAAUAUUUAAUUAAUUUAUUAUUAAAAAUUAAUUAUUAGAUAUUAUAUUUAAUAUUAAUUGAAUUUAAUAACUAAUUAAUUGAAUUUUAAAUAUUAAAUAUUAUAUAGCAUUAAAUAUCAAUUUUUAAUGAAACAUUAUAUAUUAUUUAAUAUUAUAUUAAUGCAUAUUAUUGAAUAUAAUUUAGAAUUAUAUUAAUUCAUAAUUUUAUGUAACAAAAUUAAUAUUAAAUAAUUAUAUUUAAUAAUUUAUAUAGUUUAUAUUAAUUCAUUAAUGAGUAAGUUCUUUUUUUAAAAAAAAUUACUUUUUUCUAUAUUUAUUUUAAGGGUUGAUAGUUGCUUAUUAAUAUAAUGGUAUCAUCUAAUUUAACAACAGUAUAUAGAGUUUACACAUUGACAGUGCAACAAAUAAACUCUUUGUUAAAGGAUUUAUAUUUGAUGCACUGUCAGUUUAUAAAUUCUAUAAACUAUUACUAAAUUGAAUAAUACCACCUCAUUAAUGAGAUCAAUCAAAUGAUGCCACUUUAUUAAUGAGUAAGUUUUUUAAAAUAAUAUUACUUUUUUUAUAUAUCUAUUUUAGGGUUUAUGUUUGAUAUACUUAUUAGUGUAUAGAUUUUAUACACUAUCAAUAAAUUAGAUGAUGACACCUCAAUAACAAAUAAAUAUCAACCUUUAAAAUAAAUAUACAAAAAAUUAAUAUUUGUUUAAAAACCUACUUAUUAAUUAAGUGAUAUAAUCUGAUUUACUUUAUUAAUGAGAUAGCGUCAUCCGAGUCAUUAAUAGUGUAUAGAAUCUAUAUACUAAUAAUGUAUCAAAUAUAAAUCAUUUAUUUUAAAGGUUGAUAUUUACUCAUUAAUGAGAUAACAUCAUCUAAUUCGUUAAUAAUGUAUAGAGUCUAUACACUGAUAAUAUUUGUUUAAAAACCUACUUAUUAAUUAAGUGAUAUAAUCUGAUUUACUUUAUUAAUGAGAUAGCGUCAUCCGAGUCAUUAAUAGUGUAUAGAAUCUAUAUACUAAUAAUGUAUCAAAUAUAAAUCAUUUAUUUUAAAGGUUGAUAUUUACUCAUUAAUGAGAUAACAUCAUCUAAUUCGUUAAUAAUGUAUAGAGUCUAUACACUGAUAAUGCAUCAAAUAUAAAAGCUUUAUUAAAGGAUUUAUAUUUAAUUCGUUAUUAGCGUAUAGAUUAUAUACAUUGUUAAUGAAUCAAAUGAUAUUACCUCAUCAAUGAGUAAGUUUUUUUUUAAUUACUUUUUCAUAUAUUUAUUUUAAGGAUUAAUAUUUACUUAUUAAUGAAAUGAUAUUAUUUUAUUUAUUAACAGUGCAUAGAGUCUAUAUACUGACAUUGAAUCAAAUAUAAAUUCUUCAACAAAGUGUUUAUAUUUGAUGUACUAUCAAUAUAUAAAUUCUAUACAAUGUCAAUGAAUCAAAUAAUGUCAUACCAUUAAACAACAAAAACUGAUUGAUAAGAAAAAAAAAGGCUUAACUAAAACAGAAAAUAAAAACAAACAUGAUACUUGAUCAUUAAUGAGUCCAAACAUUAUACCUUAUCACAUGUAUAUCCAAUUCUAACAGCAAAAUAAACUUAACACAGGGACAAAAAUAAAAUAAAAUAAUAAGCAAAACAAACAAAAAGCUAGUAAUUAUGUUAUGUAUAUUUUAUUUACUUUAAUUAUAUUUAUAAAGACACCUAUCUAUGUUCGAGGUUUAUUAAAUUAAUUUUUAUUGCUGUUAUUAUUAUUAUUAUUAUUAUUAUUAUUAUCAUUAUUAUUGAUUUAUAUGUUAUAUAUAUUAUUAUUAUUAUACUAUAGUAAAUCAUAUUAUAUUAUAUUAUAUUAUAUUAUAUUAUUAUUACUAUUAUCCUUAUUAUUUCUAUUUUAUUUUAUUUAUUUUCUUUUCGAUUUUCUUUCUUAACCGGUGAAAUUGAAACUGAAACUUGGAAUUCAAUGCAAUCAAAGGAAGGAUUUUCAAAAUCAAUCCAAAAAUUAGCAAGGAACCUAGACCUAAUUUGGGGUUUAGGCAAAUUCCAAUCCUAGGAUUCAAUGCUGAGAUUGAUUCCGUCUUAUUUUCUAAAAUUGGUUGUAAGGCUGCCUAUAAAUUGAAUUAACAUUACAGAAGAACACACAAGGGGGAGGUGGAGGAAAGUUGGUGAAAAUUGUGGUUGUUGCAAAAAUUGGCUGGAUAGUAGGGUUUUAUUUUUUAGGAUUUUGAUUUCUAGGAUUCCAUGAUUGAUUUGAAGUUUCUAGCUUUCGACUUGGGUUUCUAGGAUUAGGUUUAAGGUUUUGGAAGAUUUUUAGAAAGAUCUGAAAAACACGAGGAAAAUUUGGAAAUUUUUUGGGAUUUUUUAGAAAAACUAGGUUUUUCGAUGAAUGUUUAAAGUUUUCGAUGAAUUUUUCAACAGGAAUUUGAACUUUUCAGCUAGAUUUUGGCCAAUUUUUUAGAAACCAAUGGUAAACCCAAUUUUCGAUUGAGUUUCUAGGCAUUAUUUUAGAGAGAGGUCAAAGAGAAUGGGGGUAAAGAAAGGGAGCAAAGAGUGUCUAAGGCCCAAAAUGCUGAGCUUAGCCUUUAUACUAGCCCGGUACUAUGUAUGCACUGGUGUUAAUUGAGAAGAAUAAAGACAAUGAGGAGCCCCUGUAGUGAUACAACCAUUAUUGGCAGAAUUUCAAAAUGUUGUUCAGGAGGAGUUACCAAUUGGUCUACCACUAAUGAGGGAUAUUUAACAACACAGACCUUAUCCCAAGAGCUGUUCUACCUAACAAGGUAGCCUAUAGAAUGAGUCCUAAAGAGCAUGCGGAGUUGUAACACCAAGUUGAUGAAUUGGUGAGAAAAAGAAUGGUGCAUGAAAACAUGAGCCCUUGUGCAGUCCCAACCAUUUUGGUGCCUAAAAAGGAUGGAUCAUGGCGCAUGUGACUAGAUAGUAAGGCAAUCAACAAAAUUACAGUUGAAUAUCACUUUCUUAUUCUACGGUUAGAUGAAUUAUUGGACCAACUACAUGGAGUAACUAUUUUCUCUAAGAUAGUACGUAGUGGUUAUCAUCAAAUCAGAAUGAAGCCUGAAGAUGAGUAAAAAAUAGCCUUCAAGACAAGGGAUGGUUUCUAUGAAUAAAUGAUAAUGCCUUUUGGUUUAUUCAAUGCUCCUAGUACUUUCAUGAGAUUUAUAAACCAUAUCCUUAAACCUUGUACUGGCAAAUAUGUAAUAGUAUAUUUUGAUGAUAUUUUGGUGUACAGCAAGGAUGAGAAUCAGCAUUUGAAUCAUCUACAUCAACUGUUUUGCAUAUUGAGGGAACAUAAAUUUUAUGCUAACUUUAAAAAGUGCAGUUUCUUUACUUUCAGCCUUGUGUUCCUAGGAUUUGUGGUGUCAAAAGAAAGAAUAAAGAUGAAUCUCAGUAAGGUUGAAGCAAUUUUAAAUUGGCCAACACCAGCAUUUUUGCAUGAUAUCUGAAGUUUCCAUGGUCUUACAUCUUUUUAUAGGCCUUUCAUUAGAGUUUUAGCUCUAUUAUGGCCCCAAUCACUGAAUGUUUAAAGAAUGAAGUUUUUAAGUGGACCAAAUAAGCCCAACACACCUUUGAGCUUAUCAAGACCAGGAUCACUGAAGCUUUCAUCUUGUCUUUACUAGAUUUUGAUCAAGUGUUCGAGGUGAAAUUUGAUGCAUCCAAUUCUGGAUAGGUACUAUUUUAAGUUAAUGAGGAAAGCCUAUAGCAUUUUUUAGUGAGAAGCUCAAUAAAGCCAAGAAGAAGUAUUCAACCUACGACAAAGAGUUCUAUGCCAUGUAUAAAGCUUUAUUCCACUAGAGUCAGUAUCUUCUUCCCAAGCCAUUUGUCUUAUAUUCAGACCAUGAGGCCUUGAAGUUUAUCAAUAACCAACACAAGCUCAACCGAAGGCAUGCAGUUUGGGUGAAAUUUUUUGAAGCCUACAACUUCAUUAUCAAUCAUAAAUCAGAAACCCAAAAUGUGAUGGCAGAUGCUUUGAGUCAAAAGCACUUCUUAUUGGGAACUAUAACUAUUAAAGUUAUUAGAUUUAAGUGAUCAAAGGGCUCUAUGAGACAAUCCUUACUUUGGUCGAAUUUGAGAAAAAUGCAAGCAAGGACCAUACCACCAGUUUUUGUUACAUAAUGGAUAUCUCUUGAAGGCUAACAGCCUUUGCAUUCUCUCAUGUUCUUUGAGACAAGCCUUAAUCAAUGAGGCUCAUGAUGGUGCACUAGGUGGAUACUUUAGAAGAGACAAGACACUUGCUCAUUUGCAUGAUAGGUUUUAUUGAUCGAGAAUGAAGAGGGAUGUGAUGAAACACAUUGAACGAUGUUGAGUGUAUAACAUUACCAAGAGUCAUAGUCAAAACACUAGAUUGUAUACUCCACUGUUUGUGUUGAAUGCUCUUUGAGAGGAUAUUAGUUUGGACUUUGUGGUUGGACUACCCAUAACUCAAAGGAACAAAGACUCUAUCAUGGUGGUUGUGGAUCAUUUUUCCAAGAUGGCCUAUUUCGUUUCUUGUAACAAAACUAUAGAUGCUUCUCAUGUUUUUUAUUUGUAUUUCAGGGAAAUUAUAAGGUUACAUAGAGUUCCUCGAUCCAUGGUGUCCAAUCGAGAUUUCAGGUUUUUUAGCCAUUUUUGACGCACCCUUUGGAUAAAGCUUGGCACCAAUCUCAAGUAUAGUUCCUCCGAUCAUGCUCAAAUAGAUGGUUAAAUAGAAGUAACCAACCGUAGCUUGGGCAACCUUUUAAAAAGUUAUGUGGAAAAGAAUAUCAAGUAGUGGGAUCUUGUUUUACCUCAAGUAGAGUUUACCUACAACCGUUCACCAAGCCAAACUGCUGGUUGCGACCCUUUUGAGGUGGUAUUUGGUAAGAAUCCAAUCAGUCCUCUAGAUUUAGUUUUUCUCUUUAUUAAUAAACAAUUUAGUGGAGAUCAGAAGAAAUGGCUAAGGGAAUCAAAUGAUUGCAUGAACAAGUCAGAAUUAAGAUUUUACAGCAGAAUGAGAAGUAUGAGAGGGCAGCAAAUAAACAUAAAAAACAUAUAGAGUUGAAAAAAGGUGAUUUAGUGUAGAUUAACUUACAAAGAGUGAGAUUUUCUUAGGAAAGUUUGGCAAACUAUAACCUAAGGCAGAUGGUCCAUUUAGAGUUCUCCAACGCAUUGAAGAGAAUGCCUACAAGAUAAAGCUUCCUGAUACUUAUGAAGUAUCUUUCACUUUUAGUGUUACUAAUUUAUCACCAUACCAUGGAGAGAAUGCUAGUUCAAACUUAAGGAUAAGUCUUUUCUAACCAGAGGAGAUUGACAUUUGAGUGUCUACACAUCAUACAACUUAGGCUGAGACUAAGGCAGACUUAUCCAAAAAUAAGAUGGGCCUAGCCUUGGUCUAAAUCCAUACAUAAAUAAGGUGGGCUAGAAUAGAGAGAUUACGUUUAUACUAACUAAAAAAGAAGAUCAUGAAUAUGAAUGAAAUUAUGGUUAGGUUCAGGAGUAAAUGGGCAGAUUAUGUUCACAUGUAAAUCUCAUGAUUUUCAGCAUGAUUUUAGCAAUGCAAUUUGAAAGUUUUCAUGCUUAGUGGGAUGUUUCUAGCUUAUAUAUUUUCUGUUAUUCUUUGGUAAAAGGCAGACAAGAGUUUUUUAUACUUAAGCAAUCUUUUAAAUUGUUCUUCAAGUUCUGUAUCUCUUAGGUAGAUUUUUUAGAGUGAUGAACUUUUAUUGUUCUGUAUCAUUGAUUAGAAUCUUAGGGUGAUGUUUCUAUAUCCCUUAGUUCUAAGUCUUGAUGGUGAACUUUUAUCCCUUUUAAUCUAAUAAUCAUAUUCUAUCAUUAGUCAAAUUAUUGUGAGUUGUCUUCUUUGGUAGUUUUUCUAUUUGCAGUUAAUCUCAAUAUCUCAAACAUCAAUUACUGGCAUCAAAUUGGUAUCAGAGCUAUGGCCAGUCAUCGUCGUUAAGCACUAAUAGAAGAGGUUGAAGCCAACAUCAAUGUUACAGCAACUACCAAUGUUGACCCAAAAAAUGCCCUCAUAGAGGAGAUGCGAUAACAUUUCCUUCAACUACAACAUCGACUACAUAUACAAAAAGAGAGAGGAGAUAAGAAGGUAAUGGAAGAGAAAUGAAAAAGAUGAAGGAGAAACCAAUCUAUUUCAUGAAAACAACAGGGAUUCUGAUGAUAACACCCUAUCUCACCCACGGUAAGUUUGAGACUAUGUGCGCAGAAAUCAACUUCAACCUAGCUUAUUCAAUCUGAAGAUAAAAAUUCUUGAGUUCGAGGGAAAGAUGCAACCUGAAGAAUUCUUAGAUUGGCAUAUUUGAAUACCAUAAUGCCCCUGAACAUCACAAGGUGAAGCUAGUGGCCAUCAAACUUAGAAAGCAUGCAUCUUUUUUGUGAGAAAAUAUGAAAAAGCAAAGGGAAAGAGAAGGCAAGAGAAAAAUUGUAACUUGAGAGAAGAUGAAAAGAGAGUUUAAGAGAAAGUAUCUCCUAAACAACUUUUGGUAAGAUGUCUUCCUUAGGCUUUAUAACUUGAAGCAAAAAGAUCUCUCAGUGGAGGAGUAUACAGUUGAGUUUGACCACUUCAUGUUAACGUGUGAAUUGGUGAAAUAGGAGGAGCAGACUAUUGCUUGGUAUCUUGAAAGAUUGAAGAUUGAAAUAGCUAAUGUGGUGCAGCUACAACCCUAUUGAACUUUCAAUGAUGUAUGCAAGCUUGCCCUAAAGGUGGAGAGAUAACAAAAUGAGGCCCGUAGUAGUAACUUGAGAUUUGGAUCUCGAGAAGGAUAUAUCAAUAAAGGUGGCUCAUCCAAAACUAUUGUUUCUUCUAAGUUCAUUCCAAAGCAACCCCAAAAGAAAGAUGGGACCUCAACAAACAAGUCUCAGUCUAGUGCACAAACCAAAAGGUGUUUUAAAUGUCAAAGGCUUGGAUACAUUGCUUCAGAAUGUCCAAACAAGAAGAUUAUGACUCUAGUAAAGGAAUAUUUGAAGGAAAAUGAAGAUGAGCUGACUGAAUAAGAUUAAAUCCUUAAAAAGGAAAAAAAGGUAACAUAUAGUGAUUGUGGAGCAUCGUUAGUUAUACAAUGUAGUUUGAAUACCACACCUAUUGAGAAAGAAGAUUGGUUGCGUAAAAAUGUGUUCCACACUCAAUGUACUGUCUAUGAAAAGGUAUAUGAUGUUAUAAUUGAUAGUGAAAGUUUUGAAACAUUGUUUCUACCUUUAUGGUGCAGAAAUUAAGCCUCAAAAUAGUGGAUCACCCCCAAUUAUAUAAGUUAUCUUAGCUACAGAAAGAGAAUGAAAUUAAGGCUAGCAAGAGGUGUUUGGUUCCUUUUUCAUAGGAAAGUAAUACAAAGAUGAAGUGUGGUGUGAUGUAGCUCCGAUAAAUAUGCUUACCAUUUACUGCUCGAAAGACCUUGGCAUUAUGAUAGAAGGGUUAUUUAUGAUCAUUAUCGUAAUACUUACACAUUUAUGACAGAUUGAUGUAAAGUCAUCCUAGGCCCUACCAAACCCAUAGUGAUGUCAAAACCAACCAAAGGGGAAGGAAGCAGCUUGUUUACCAAGGCUAAUUACAGAAAGAAAAUUAAGAUGGGUGGUACUAUGUAUGCACUGGUGUUAAUCGAGAAGAAUAAAGACAAUGAAAAGCCUCAUACAGUGAAACAACCAUUAUUGGUAGAAUUUUAAGAUGUUGUUAAGGAGGAGUUACCAGCUGGUCUACCACCAAUGAUGGACAUUCAACAUAGCCUAAACCUUAUCACAUGAGCUGUUCUACCUAACAAGGUAGCCUAUAGAAUGAGUCUUAAAGAGCAUGAAGAGUUGCAAUGCCAAGUUGAUGAAUUGGUCAAAAAAGGAAUGGUGCAUGAAAGCAUAAGUCCUUGUGAAGUCCUAGCCCUUUUAGUGCUAAGAAGGAUGGAUCAUGGCAUAAACAUGUAGAUAGUAGGGCAAUUAACAAAAUCACAGUUGACUAUCACUUUUCUAUUCGGCGCUUAGAUGACUUGUUAGACCAACUACAUGGAAUAACUAUUUUAUCCAAGAUAGACCUACAUAGUGAUUAUUAUCAAAUUAGAAUGAGGCCUGGAGAUGAGUGGAAAACAAAUGGUCUCUAUGAAUGGAUGGUAAUGCCUUUUGGUUUAUCAAAUGCUCUUAAUACUUUCAUCAGAUUUAUGAACCAUAUUCUUAAACCUUGUAUUGUCAUAUAUGUAGUAGUAUAUUUUGAUGAUAUUUAGUGUACAGCAAGGAUGAGAACCAACACUUAAAUCAUCUACAUCAACUGUUUUAUCUAGUGAGGGAAUAAAAACUUUAUGCUAACCUUAAAAUGUGUAGCUUCUUUACUUUCAGCCUUGUGUUCCUAGGGUUUGUGGUGUCAAAAGAAAGAAUAAAGAUAGAUCCCAAUAAGGUUGAGGUAAUUUUAAAUUGGCCAACACCAGCAUCUCUGCAUGAUAUCCAAAAUUUCUAUGGUCUUGUAUCUUUUUAUAAGCAUUUUAUUAGGAGUUUUAACUCUAUUGUGGCCCCCAUCAUUGAAUGUUUGAAGAAUGAAGUUUUUAAGUGGACCAAAAAAGCCUGACAUAGCUUUGAGCUCAUCAAGACAAGGAUAAGCUCCCAUCUUGUCCCUACCAGAUUUUGAUCAAGUGUUCGAGGUGGAAUGUGAUGCAUCCAAUUCUGGAAUAGGUGUUGUUUUAAGUCAAAAUGGAAAGCCUAUAGCAUUUUUUAGUGAGAAGCUCAAUGAAGCCAAUAGGAAGUAUUCAACCUAUGACAAAGAGUUCUAUGUCAUAUAUAAAGCUUUAUUCCAUUAGAGUCAAUAUCUUCUUCCCAAGCCAUUUGUCCUAUAUUGAGACCCUAAGGCCUUGAAGUUUAUCAAUAACUAGCACAAACUCAACCGAAGGCAUGUAGUUUGGGUAGAGUUCCUUCAAGCCUACAACUUCAAUAUCAAACACAAAUUGAGAACCCAUAAUGUGGUGACAGAUGCUUUGAGUCGAAAACACUCUUUAUUACAGAUUAUGGCUAUUGAAGUUAUUGGAUUUGAGGUGAUCAAAGGGCUCUAUGAGACAGAUCCUUACUUUGGUUGAAUUUGGAAAGAAUGCAAGCAAAGACCACACCACCAAUUUUUGUUGCAUGAUGGAUAUCUCUUGAAGGCAAACAACCUUUGCAUUCCCUCAUGUUCCUUGAGACAAGCCUUAAUCAAUGAGACUCAUGAUGAUGCACUAAGUGGACACUUUGAAAGAGACAAGACACUUACUCUUUUGCAAGAUAAGGUUUUAUUCAUCGAAAAUGAGAGGGAUGUGAUGAAACACAUUGAACAAUGUAGAGUGUGCCAUAUUGUCAAGAGUCAUGGUCAAAACAUUGGAUUGUAUACUUCACUGCCCAUGUCGAAUGCUCAUUGAAAGGAUGUUAGUUUGGACUUUGUGGUUGGAUUACCCAAAACUCUAAGGAACAAAGACUCUAUCAUGGUGGUUGUGGAUCAUUUUUCCAAGAUGGCCUAUUUCAUUCUUUAUAACAAAACUAUAGAUGCUUCUUAUGUUUUUGAUUUGUAUUUUAGAGAAAUUGUGAGGUUACAUGGAUUCUUAGAUCCAUGGUGUCCGAUCAAGAUUUCAGGUUCUUAGCCAUUUUUAGGAUACCUUUUAGAAAAAGCUUGGCACCAAUCUUAAGUAUAGUUCUUUCUGUCUUCCUCAAACAAAUGGUUAAAGAGAAGUAACCAACCGUAGCUUAGGCAACCUUCUAAGAAGUUAUGUGGGAAAGAAUAUCAAGCAAUAGGAUCUUGUUUUACCUCAAAUAGAGUUUGCCUACAAUCGUUCACCAAGCUAAGCCACUAGUUGCAACCCUUUUGAAGUGGUAUUUGGUAAGAAUCCAAUCAAUCCUCUAAAUUUAGUUCCUUUCCCUACUAAUCAACGAUUUAGUGGAGAUGCAAAGGAAAUGGCUAAGAGAAUCAAAUGAUUGCAUGAAUAAGUCAGAAUUAAGAUUUUACAGCAGAAUGAGAAGUAUAAGAGGGCAACAAACAAGCAUCGAAAACAUGUAGAGUUCAAAGAAGGUGAUUUAGUGUGGAUUAACUUGCACAGAAAGAGAUAUUCUUUAAGGAAGUUUAACAAAUUACAACCUAAGACAGAUGGCCCAUUUAGAAUUCUUCAACGUAUUAGAGAGAAUGCCUACAAGAUAGAGCUUCCCAACACUUAUGAAGUAUCUUUCACCUUUAAUAAUACUGAUUUAUCACCCUAUGAUGGAGAGAAUACUAGUUCAAACUUGAAGAGAAGUCUUUUCCAACCAGAAGAGAUUGACACCAGAGUGUCUGCAUCAUACAACUUGGGUUGAGACUAAGGUAGACUUAUCCAAAAAUAAGAUAGGCCUAGCCUUGGUCUAAAUUCAUACAUAAAUAAGGUGGGCUAGAAUAGAAGAUUGCAUUUACACUAACUAGAAAAAAAGAUCAUGAAUAUGAAUGAGAUUAUGGUCAGGUUUAAGAGUAUAUGGACAGAUUAUGUUCAUAUGCAAAUCUCAUGAUUUUAGGCAUGAUUCUAGCAAUGCAAUCUGAAAGUUUCCAUGCUUAGUGGGAUGUUUCUAGCCUAUAUAUUUUCUAUUAUUCUUUGGUAAAAGACAAACUAGAGUUUUCUUUAUGCUUAGGCAAUCUUUUAGAUUGUUCUUCAAGUUUUGUAUCUCUUAGGUGAAUUUCCUAGAGUGGUGAACUUUAUUUUUCUGUAUCAUUGAUUAGAAUUUUUAGGGUGAUGUUUCUGUAUCCCUUAGUUUCUAGUCUUAGUGGUGAACUUUUAUCCCUUUUAAUCCAAUAAUCAUAUUUUGUCAUUAUUCAAAUUAUUGUGAGUUAUCUUUUUUGUGAGUUUUUCUGUUUGCAGUUAAUAUCAACAUCUCAAACAUCAAUUUCCAGCAUCAAUGGGUGAGGAUUGGGGUGUCUUACUAGUUUGUGAUAGACAAUGAUAUAGGAAACAAUUGAAAACUUUUUAGAAAUAAUCUAAGCCAUAUAUAGUUAACUUUAAGAGCCUAAACAUAGAUAGAGCCAUGUCCAUCCACCCUUUAUAGUUAACCUAAAUCUAGGGUUAUGUUGCUUUAUAGUGUUUAUUCUAUUUUAAGGUGACUAAAUGAUUUUUUUGUCUUUUUUUAUUUUUUUUUCUUAUGCAUAGUCAUAAACAUACAUGCAGAUUGCAUAUUAUGCUUACUAAUCCUUUUUAUUGUGUAUGCAUGCAUUCAUGCAUCACUGCAUUCAUUCUCAUGCAUAAUCUGAAGGUUUCAUAAAUAUCAUUUUAAAUUUACACAUUAUGAAAAAUAAGAUUCAAGGAUAGCUCAACAGUAGUACUACACUCAAACUAGAGUCAGAAAAAAGGAGCAAGAUAAUGCAAGUCAUUUCAAAAAGAUAAAAAAAGCCUAGGAAAUACUUGAAAGAAUAUUAGGCAAGAUUCUAGAAGAUUUGGAAAAAAUAAACAGAGGAAAAGCAGUAGAAAAAUGCAUCUUCAUAAAGAUACUGAGCCACUAUAUCCUUCAAGUUUCACUCUGCAUCAGGCCCAAACCAUUCCAAGCUUGCAGUAACAACAGACCACUUUUCCAAAUUACAAUCAAUGGAAUGUUCAGAGCUAUACCAAUCAUGUCUUCACUGAAAAGAUAGAUAAGCUUAUCCAAAUUCCCAAAAUGAAUGAGACCAAAGAAGAAAUGAAGUUGCAGAUGACUAUGUCCUCAAAAGACUCUAAAACUGAUCAAGCUAUAAGCAUGAUUAAGAAAAGAUUACAGGCUGUAAAAGGCAUUGAUUUUUAUGAAUCUAUAGAUGAUGCCAACCUUUGUUUGGUUUUAGAUGUUAUGAUUCCUCUGAAUUCAAGGUACCAUAAUUUGAGAAGUAUGAUGAUACCAAAUGCCCUAUUACAUACAUCAUAAUAUAUUAUCGUAAGACGACAGUUUACAUGAGUAAUGAAAAGCUGCUCAUGGGUUUGUUUCAAAACAGCUUGAUCAAGUCUGUUGUAAGAUGGUAUGUCCAGUUAGAUAGGACUUGCAUUAAGUUAUGAAAAGAUUUGAUUCGAUCUUUCAUCAACCAAUAUUGCCAUAUCAUAGACAUGGCUCUUGAUCACCUAUCAUUGUAAGAAAUGGAAAAGAAAACAUCUGAAUCUUUCAAAGAGUAUACCCAAAAGUGGCAAGAUGUCACUACUCAAGUACAACCUCUUCUUACAAAAAAAAUGACAAUAUUGUUUAUAAGCACUCUAAAAUCACCAUACUUUGAGAAGAUGAUAGGGAACACGACUAAAAAUUUUACAAACAUAGUAAUUUUAGAGGACAUCAUUGAAAAUGCAAUCAAGAGUGACAAACUAGAAGAAAGAGAAUCAUCUGUUGCUAAAAAGAUACCCCAAAAAAAUAAAGUGAGACUCAAGCUGUGAGCUUCGACAAUAAUCUAAAAACUACUCUCAACCAAUCUAUCUCACAUAUCAUUUUCAUACAAGUCAUUGCCUCUGUUCGUUCAACUACCCCAACAAGCAGUGUGCAAGAAUCAUGGAAUAGGGAAAAGCCUACAUUUGACCUAUAUCAAGAGCUUUACAAAAAAACCACUUGAUCGCUUUUGUUUUUACAAAAUAACUUGAACCUCCAUAUCUUAAAUGGUAUGAUUUCAUUGUUCAUUAUGACUAUCAUUUUAGGGUGGCAGGUCAUUCUACUGAAAAUUAUAUCCCUUUAAAACAUAUGGUGCAAAGAUUGAUCAAAUAAUGGUUGAUAAAUUUUGAUACCAGUGGAAAUACGACAUCCAAUAUUAGUGGUAACCUAUCACUGAAUCAUUUAGAGGCAUAAUUUUAGGGAGAAUGAUUGGAACUACUUAUCAUCUUGGACUUGUUGAGAAUAUGGAUUUUUUUUUAUGUACUUAGACUUCAUAUUAUUUUUCAUCAUUUUAAUAAAGUGACGUGUUUGAUGCAUUUUUAUUAUAUUCCUCUUUUGUGUGAAUCCCAUUAUUCACUUCUUAUACCUUUUUUUUUAAUACACAUUCUUUAAUUUUGAAUAAUAAAUAUUCAGAUAGUUAUGACGAUAAUUCAAGAUUUGAUUUUGAAAAUAUCAUUUGAUGAUCUGAUUGAUAAGUGAAAAUAGUUGAUUCAUUGGGAUUAAUGAAUAAAAGGACAAGUCUGGAGAAAAUUUUUAAAAGUGAUGCAACAUAUGAAUUGUUCAUUCAUGAACCUGCUCUUAGUUAAUAAAUGUUUUUCAUUAAGAGUAUUCAUGUUCAAAAUAAGAAAUAGUCAUUUUUUAUCCCAAAAAAAAAAAAAUUAUCCCUUGGUACCCCAUUUGAGCUUGUUAAAAAUUUCUCUUGAGGAACUUUAAACCAAGGAUCACCCCCACACUAUGAGGCAAAGUUUAGAGAUUUGUUCAUCCUUUGGGGCAAAGCUCUUUUAUGCUUAAAUUUUCUUAACAAAUGAAAAAGAAAAAGAAAUUGAUGGAGGCAAAAUGCAUCCACAAAAAAAAAAAAAGAGAAAUAAAAAAAAUGAAAAGAAAAAAAAAGAAAAUUGAUGGGGCAAAAUAUCAAAGUGCUUUAUAUAAAAAAAUGAUCCUUGAUUUGAUUACCCUGCAAAUACAAUUUGGGCCUAUUUUAUCCAUUUCUUUGGCAACCUUUACCCUAGCCUACGCUACGUCCCUUAAAAGUUCAUUUUGAUCGAACAUGAAUACUCGAUUUGGAGAAUCAUGAAUUGAAUUAGGGUAGGUUUGCUAUUGGAUUGUUUGAAGCUUUAAUCAAAGUGUCACUGAUGGAUCAAAGGAUAAAUAGGAAAAAGGUGUGAAAAAAAAGUGAAAAAAAGAAAAGAAAAAAGAAAAAGUGAAACUUAGACUAAAACCCGCAAGGGCAAUUUAAGUAAAGAUAAAAUAGAAAAAAAAAACACAACUUCAUAUGAAAAUCCUAGGAAUGAGGAUGAGAUUACCUCAAAGAUUGAAGAUAUGUGUUUUUGAAAGAUGAUUCUGAGUUCAAAAUUGUCUGAACAAUCGUUAUUUUAGAUGUUAAUAUCCUACAAACCACAGCAUUUUGCCUUUGUUCACCCUUGAAUUAUUCUUGACCUUGCUUUUUGUUUACUCAAAAUAAAGACCCAUUUUUUCAUUUUUUACCAAAUAUUCCCUGAAUGAACCAAGGAAAUGUAUCACAUCUGUCAUUGGUUUGAAUGAUAGCAAAUAAAUAAAUAACAUUUUUCAUAGAGAGUUGUUCAUUUUUUGAAAGAAAUCCAAGAUGAAAUAAAUGAAAGAAGCAUGAAAAAGUGAUUUACAAGAGGCAAACAAGGUGACCUAAUGACAAAUUCAAUGAUAGAUUGGUUGACACGACUUGUGAAUUGUGACUAGAUAAGAAAAAUGAUAUGGAUCCAUCGAUAAAAUUUGCUUUAAGAUUAUUAAUACUGAGAAGCUAAGAAGAACUGAUGGAGUCUUGAGAACUUUGUCUCCACAAUUAAAAUUUCAUGACAUCAACAUUAUAUACAUCCUAGAUAAGACGUGCAUUUGUAUCGAUGCAAUAUCAUCAUCACUCAUUGUCGAUCUCAGCUCAAUCCAAAUCAUUUUUCUGACUCACGAUUUAAUCUUGAUCACUCAUUUUGAUCUCAGCUCGAUCUAGAUCAUUUUUUUUACCUUCGUAAACUUGGAAUCUUGUGAAUCUUUCUUUCUUGAGAAUUUAAAAGUCUUUGUGAAUUUGGAAUCUUUGCGAAUUUAGAAUCUUUAUGAAACUUGAAAUCUUGCAAAUAUUUUUUCCUGCGACUCUGAAAGUCCUUAUGAACCUAGAAAUUUUUGUGAAUUAAAAACCUUUGUGAAAUUUGAAAUCUUAUGAAUUUUUUUUUCUAUGAAUCUGAAAGUCCUUGUGAACCAGAGAUCUCUGUGAAUUUAAAACCUUUACGAAAUUUAGAAUCUUAUGAAUCUUCCAUUCUUGUUAAUUUGAAAACCUUUACAAAUAUUGAAUCGUUACGAUUUUGUUAUGGAACCUCACAAAUUUUUAAAUGUCUAAAUUAUAAAUAUUUGGAUUUAAAGUAAAAUUUUGAGCUUUUUUCUUGACCUACGGUUCAAUUCCUCAUAUUGAUCUCAGCCCAAUCUAGAUCAUUUUCUUGACUUACGAUUUUGUCUCGAUCAUUCAUCUUUAAUCUUGACUCAGGUCUUGGUCACUUUAUCUCUUAGACCAACGAUUUUUUCUAGGUUGUUCGAUCUUAGCUCAGUUUGAAUCAUUUUUUUGACCAGUGGUUUUGUUUCGAUCAUUCAUCUUUGACCUCAACUCGAUCUUAGUUCCUUUAUCCUGACUCACAAUUUCAUCUCGAUCAUUCGAUCUUAACUCAAUCCAGAUCAUUUCUUUACUUGCGAUUUCAUAUCGAUCAUUCAUCUUCGACCUUGACUCGGUCCUAGUCGCUUUCAGACUCACGAUUUCAUCUUGGUCAUUCGAUCUCAGCUCAGUCUAGAUUAUUUUUUGACUCACGAUUUCGCCUUAGUCAUUCAUUUUUUACCUCGGCUCGAUCCUGGUCACUUUAUCUUGACUUGUAGUUUCAUCCCGAUCAUUUGAUCUUGGCUCAGUCCAUAUCAUUUUUCUAACCUUUCGAUCUUGACUUAGUUCAGAUCAUUUUACUGACCAUUUGAUCUCGGCUCAAUCUAGAUUAUUUUCUUGACUUACAAUUUCAUCUCGGUCAUUUAUCUUCAACCUCAACUCGGUCCUAGUCAUUUUUAGACUCGUAGUUUCAUCCCGAUCAUUUGAUUUUGACUUAAUCUAAAUCAUUUUCCUGACUCAUGAUUUCAUUCUGAUCAUUUAUUUUCUUGACUUAUAAUUUCAUCUCGGUCAUUUAUUUUCAACCUCGACUCGGUCCUGAUCGUUUUUAGACUCGUAGUUUCAUCCCGAUCAUUCGAAUUCGACUUAAUCCAAAUCAUUUUCCUGACUCACGAUUUCAUUCUCAUCAUUUAUUGUUAACCUUGACUCGAUCCUGGUCACUUUAUCUCGACUCGCAGCUUCAUCCCGGUCAUUUGAUCUUAGCUUAGUCCAAAUCAUUUUCUUAACCUUUCGAUCUCAGUUCAGUCUAAAUCAUUUUACUGACUAUUCGAUCUUGGCUCGGUUUAGAUCAUUUUCUUGACCUUGUGGCUCAAUUUCAGUCAUUUAUUCUUAUUGGUUUGACUUUUGAAACAUAGUAGCUGUCUAGGUCUUUGCAUCAUCCCUGUUUAACAAGGAUGUGCAAAGAAGGGCAGCUGUAAAUACCCAUCUAUGUUCGGGAUCUAUUGAAUCGACUUUAAUUGCUGUUAUUAUUAUUAUUAUUAUAAUAUUGAUUUAUAUGUUAUAUUAUAUUAUAUUAUUAUUAUACUAUAGUAAAUCAUAUUAUAUUAUAUUAUUAUUUCUAUUUUAUUUUUAUUUUAGUUAUUUUUUUUCGAUUUUCUUUCCUAACCAGUGAAAUUGAAACUGAAACUGAAACUUGGAAUUCAAUGUAGUCAAAUGGAGGAUUUUCGAGAUCAAUCCAAAAAUCAACAAGAAACCUAGACCUAAUUUGGGGUUCGGGCAGAAUCAAAUCCUAGGAUUCAAGCUUGGAUUGAUCUGUUCAUUUCUUAAAAUAUGUUCUAAGGCUGCCUAUAAAUUGAAUUAACAUUACAGAAAAACAUACAAGGGGAGAGGUGGAGGAAAGUUGAGGAAAAAUUAUGGUUGUUGCAAAAAUUGGCUGGACAGCAGGCUUUUUUUUAGGAUUUCAGUUUCUAGGAUUCUAAGAUUGAUUUAAAGUUUCUUGGUUUAGACUUGGGUUUCUAAGAUUAGGUUUAAGGUUUUGGAAGAUUUUUAGAGAGAUCUAGAAAAAGCUAAGGAAAUCUAGAAAUUUUUUGGGAUUUUUUGGAAAAACUAAGUUUUUGGAUGAAUGUUUGAAGUUUUCGAUAAAUUUUCUAGCAGGAAUUUGAAUUUUUUGGCCAAAUUUCAACCAAUUUUUUAGAAACUGGUGGUAAACCCAGUUUUCAAUUGAGUUUCUGGGGAUUGUUUUAGAGAGAGGUUAGAGAGAAC